GGGUAUAUAGCCCAGUGGUAGAGCGUGUGCUUAGCAUGCACAAGGUCCAGGGUUCCAUCCCCAGUAUCUCCA
This 72-nucleotide transfer RNA is filed under the name Camelus bactrianus (Bactrian camel). It matches the Rfam family "tRNA". From Rfam's summary of the family: Transfer RNA (tRNA) molecules are approximately 80 nucleotides in length. Their secondary structure includes four short double-helical elements and three loops (D, anti-codon, and T loops). RNAcentral also lists the same sequence under 3 other names. Lineage: Eukaryota; Metazoa; Chordata; Mammalia; Artiodactyla; Camelidae. The record is from Rfam by way of RNAcentral.